UGAGGAAUAUUGGUCAAUGGGCGCAAGCCUGAACCAGCCAUGCCGCGUGCAGGAUUAAGGCCCUAUGGGUUGUAAACUGCUUUUGUACGGGAAGAAACACCGAUUCGUGAAUCGGCUUGACGGUACCGUAAGAAUAAGGAUCGGCUAACUCCGUGCCAGCAGCCGCGGUAAUACGGAGGAUCCAAGCGUUAUCCGGAAUCAUUGGGUUUAAAGGGUCCGUAGGCGGGCCUGUAAGUCAGUGGUGAAAUCCGGCGGCUUAACCGUCGAACUGCCAUUGAUACUGCAGGCCUUGAAUUAUUGGGAAGUAACUAGAAUAUGUAGUGUAGCGGUGAAAUGCUUAGAUAUUACAUGGAAUACCGAUUGCGAAGGCAGGGUUACUACCAAUACAUUGACGCUGAUGGACGAAAGCGUGGGGAGCGAACAGGAUUAGAUACCCUGGUAGUCCACGCCGUAAACGAUGGAUACUAGCUGUCGGGACGCAAGUCUCGGU
Molecule: ribosomal RNA, 490 nt
Filed under: uncultured bacterium
Lineage: Bacteria
Description: bacterial SSU rRNA
Rfam family: Bacterial small subunit ribosomal RNA
Source: RNAcentral